RNAcentral lists this ribosomal RNA (253 nucleotides) under uncultured bacterium. RNAcentral describes it as "partial 16S ribosomal RNA". It matches the Rfam family "Bacterial small subunit ribosomal RNA", at positions 524 to 776 of the family's 1533-position model. The record is from RNAcentral.
UACGUAGGGUGCGAGCGUUGUCCGGAAUUACUGGGCGUAAAGAGCUCGUAGGUGGUUUGUCGCGUUGUUCGUGAAAACCGGGGGCUUAACCCUCGGCGUGCGGGCGAUACGGGCAGACUGGAGUACUGCAGGGGAGACUGGAAUUCCUGGUGUAGCGGUGGAAUGCGCAGAUAUCAGGAGGAACACCGGUGGCGAAGGCGGGUCUCUGGGCCGAUACUGACACUGAGAAGCGAAAGCGUGGGGAGCGAACAGG